UGAUGCAUUACUGGGCAAGAUCUCAUUUGGCAGGCGUACCGUUAAUCGCUUUUGGUUUACAUGAAUCGGAAGUGAUUAGUAAAAAUUGCCAAAGGAGAUUUGCCUAGCAAUUCAUCU
Molecule: non-coding RNA, 117 nt
Organism: Helianthus annuus (common sunflower)
Lineage: Eukaryota; Viridiplantae; Streptophyta; Magnoliopsida; Asterales; Asteraceae
Source: Rfam